RNAcentral lists this long non-coding RNA (214 nucleotides) under Lathyrus oleraceus (garden pea). Its description in RNAcentral is "Pisum sativum (pea) long non-coding RNA (PSAT_LNC006986)". Lineage: Eukaryota; Viridiplantae; Streptophyta; Magnoliopsida; Fabales; Fabaceae. The record is from RNAcentral.
GUGAGCUUAGGUUCAGGAAGAGGUAUAGGUAUCCGAGUGACGAAUGGCAUUUUGAUCAUCUCCAUCCUUUCCUUUACCCAAUGAAGAUAUGGUUCUUUUGUAAUCCCAUUAGCUCUUCCCAAAUCAGCUCUCCCUUUUUGAUUGACAUUCUUCCAAGACUCUCUGAUUCGUUGGAACAAGCUAGGAUUCUCAAUCCCAAAGUCAAGCAACAAGA